UCCUACGGGGCGCAGCAGUGAGGAAUAUUGGUCAAUGGUCGGGAGACUGAACCAGCCAAGCCGCGUGAGGGAUGAAGGUACAGAGUAUCGUAAACCUCUUUUGUCAGGGAACAAAGGCGGGGACGUGUCCCCGGAUGAGUGUACCUGAAGAAACAGCAUCGGCUAACUCCGUGCCAGCAGCCGCGGUAAUACGGAGGAUGCGAGCGUUAUCCGGAUUUAUUGGGUUUAAAGGGUGCGUAGGCGGGUUAUCAAGUCAGCGGUAAAAUCGUGGAGCUCAACUCCAUCCAGCCGUUGAAACUGAUGAU
This 305-nucleotide ribosomal RNA is filed under the name uncultured bacterium. Its description in RNAcentral is "bacterial SSU rRNA". It matches the Rfam family "Bacterial small subunit ribosomal RNA", at positions 337 to 640 of the family's 1533-position model. The record is from RNAcentral.